UAAGUAGGUAGUUUUAAAAGUUUUAAUAUAUAAUCAAGGCUUAACUUUGAAAAUUUUAGAAAGACUUUAAAUCUUUGUGAUAUAUGGAGGAUAACGUUGUAAUUUCAGUGUAGAGGUGAAAUUCUUAAAUAUUGAAAAGACAUUCAAUUGGCGAAAGCAACAGUCUAUGUAAAUCUGACACUGAAUUACGUAAGCAUAGGUAUCAAACA
RNAcentral lists this ribosomal RNA (209 nucleotides) under uncultured bacterium. RNAcentral describes it as "partial 16S ribosomal RNA". It matches the Rfam family "Bacterial small subunit ribosomal RNA", at positions 568 to 774 of the family's 1533-position model. The record is from RNAcentral.